RNAcentral lists this ribosomal RNA (508 nucleotides) under uncultured bacterium. Its description in RNAcentral is "bacterial SSU rRNA". It matches the Rfam family "Bacterial small subunit ribosomal RNA", at positions 15 to 518 of the family's 1533-position model. The record is from RNAcentral.
GAUCAUGGCUCAGGAUGAACGCUGGCGGCGUGCCUAACACAUGCAAGUCGAACGAAGCACUGGAGAGCGGAGAUUCGUCAAAGCACUCCUUUGGCUUAGUGGCGGACGGGUGAGUAAUGCGUGAGCAACCUGCCUUUCAGAGGGGGACAACAGUUGGAAACGACUGCUAAUACCGCAUAACGUAUACGGGGGGCAUCCCCUGGAUACCAAAGGAGCAAUCCGCUGAAAGAUGGGCUCACGUCUGAUUAGCUAGUUGGUGGGUAACGGCCCACCAAGGCUGCGAUCAGUAGCCGGACUGAGAGGUUGAACGGCCACAUUGGGACUGAGAUACGGCCCAGACUCCUACGGGAGGCAGCAGUGGGGAAUAUUGGGCAAUGGGCGAAAGCCUGAACCCCAGCAACGCCGCGUGAAGGAAGAAGGUCCUCGGAUUGUAAACUUCUUUUAUGAGGACGAAGGACGUGACGGUACCUCAUGAAUAAGCCACGGCUAACUACGUGCCAGCAGCUGC